UUAGCAGAUUAUCGAUUCGCCGACAACGAUUCGCCAAACAUCGUUUCGCAGAGUGAUUUAUUUGUAAAUGUAACUUUUGGUCGAGUAACGUUACGCAGACUCUUGGUUCACAUACAGUUCAGUUCGCUUCUGUGUAAAUUAGCAGGACUAUUAUUGGACGAUUUCCAUUUGGCAGAGUAAUCGUUUCGUUUAAGCAAUGUUUAGUCGAAUAACGUUUCACAUUUUACAUAUUGUCGCAACAAAAA
Molecule: long non-coding RNA, 245 nt
Organism: Cydia splendana
Lineage: Eukaryota; Metazoa; Arthropoda; Insecta; Lepidoptera; Tortricidae
Exons: 2
Source: RefSeq, a predicted model, not a curated record